RNAcentral lists this ribosomal RNA (340 nucleotides) under Salmonella enterica subsp. enterica serovar Typhimurium. Its description in RNAcentral is "bacterial LSU rRNA". It matches the Rfam family "Bacterial large subunit ribosomal RNA", at positions 331 to 676 of the family's 2925-position model. Lineage: Bacteria; Pseudomonadati; Pseudomonadota; Gammaproteobacteria; Enterobacterales; Enterobacteriaceae. The record is from RNAcentral.
AGUGGAAGCGUCUGGAAAGGUGCGCGAUACAGGGUGACAGCCCCGUACACAAAAGCGCAUGUGCUGUGAGCUCGAUGAGUAGGGCGGGACACGUGGUAUCCUGUCUGAAUAUGGGGGGACCAUCCUCCAAGGCUAAAUACUCCUGACUGACCGAUAGUGAACCAGUACCGUGAGGGAAAGGCGAAAAGAACCCCGGCGAGGGGAGUGAAAAAGAACCUGAAACCGUGUACGUACAAGCAGUGGGAGCACCCUUCGGGGUGUGACUGCGUACCUUUUGUAUAAUGGGUCAGCGACUUAUAUUCUGUAGCAAGGUUAACCGUAUAGGGGAGCCGGAGGGAAA